GGCCUCGUAGCUGAAGUGGCUAGAGCGUUAGCUAUACUAAAGCUUCCAUUUGCUGUCGCGAGUUCGAAUCCCACCGAGGCCA
RNAcentral lists this transfer RNA (82 nucleotides) under Schistocephalus solidus. It matches the Rfam family "tRNA". Rfam says of the family: Transfer RNA (tRNA) molecules are approximately 80 nucleotides in length. Their secondary structure includes four short double-helical elements and three loops (D, anti-codon, and T loops). The record is from Rfam by way of RNAcentral. Lineage: Eukaryota; Metazoa; Platyhelminthes; Cestoda; Diphyllobothriidea; Diphyllobothriidae.